GACGAACGCUGGCGGCGCGCCUAACACAUGCAAGUCGAACGAGCGAGAGAGAGCUUGCUUUCUCGAGCGAGUGGCGAACGGGUGAGUAACGCGUGAGGAACCUGCCUCAAAGAGGGGGACAACAGUUGGAAACGACUGCUAAUACCGCAUAAGCCCACGGGUCGGCAUCGACCAGAGGGAAAAGGAGCAAUCCGCUUUGAGAUGGCCUCGCGUCCGAUUAGCUAGUUGGUGAGGUAACGGCCCACCAAGGCGACGAUCGGUAGCCGGACUGAGAGGUUGAACGGCCACAUUGGGACUGAGACACGGCCCAGACUCCUACGGGAGGCAGCAGUGGGGAAUAUUGCACAAUGGGGGAAACCCUGAUGCAGCGACGCCGCGUGGAGGAAGAAGGUCUUCGGAUUGUAAACUCCUGUUGUUGGGGAAGAUAAUGACGGUACCCAACAAGGAAGUGACGGCUAACUACGUGCCAGCAGCCGCGGUAAAACGUAGGUCACAAGCGUUGUCCGGAAUUACUGGGUGUAAAGGGAGCGCAGGCGGGAAGACAAGUUGGAAGUGAAAUCCAUGGGCUCAACUCAUGAACUGCUUUCAAAACUGUUUUUCUUGAGUAGUGCAGAGGUAGGCGGAAUUCCCGGUGUAGCGGUGGAAUGCGUAGAUAUCGGGAGGAACACCAGUGGCGAAGGCGGCCUACUGGGCACCAACUGACGCUGAGGCUCGAAAGUGUGGGUAGCAAACAGGAUUAGAUACCCUGGUAGUCCACACCGUAAACGAUGAUUACUAGGUGUUGGGGGAUUGACCCCCUCAGUGCCGCAGUUAACACAAUAAGUAAUCCACCUGGGGAGUACGACCGCAAGGUUGAAACUCAAAGGAAUUGACGGGGGCCCGCACAAGCAGUGGAGUAUGUGGUUUAAUUCGACGCAACGCGAAGAACCUUACCAAGUCUUGACAUCCUGCGACGGUGCUGGAAACAGUACUUUCCUUCGGGACGCAGAGACAGGUGGUGCAUGGUUGUCGUCAGCUCGUGUCGUGAGAUGUUGGGUUAAGUCCCGCAACGAGCGCAACCCUUAUGGUCAGUUACUACGCAAGAGGACUCUGGCCAGACUGCCGUUGACAAAACGGAGGAAGGUGGGGAUGACGUCAAAUCAUCAUGCCCUUUAUGACUUGGGCUACACACGUACUACAAUGGCGUUAAACAAAGAGAAGCAAGACCGCGAGGUGGAGCAAAACUCAGAAACAACGUCCCAGUUCGGACUGCAGGCUGCAACUCGCCUGCACGAAGUCGGAAUUGCUAGUAAUCGUGGAUCAGCAUGCCACGGUGAAUACGUUCCCGGGCCU
RNAcentral lists this ribosomal RNA (1332 nucleotides) under uncultured bacterium. RNAcentral describes it as "bacterial SSU rRNA". It matches the Rfam family "Bacterial small subunit ribosomal RNA", at positions 28 to 1381 of the family's 1533-position model. The record is from RNAcentral.